UCCUAUGAGAAUAAGUGUAAGUAUCCU
This 27-nucleotide non-coding RNA is filed under the name Mus musculus (house mouse). The record is from RNAcentral. Lineage: Eukaryota; Metazoa; Chordata; Mammalia; Rodentia; Muridae.